RNAcentral lists this ribosomal RNA (703 nucleotides) under Salmonella enterica. RNAcentral's name for it is "partial 23S ribosomal RNA". It matches the Rfam family "Bacterial large subunit ribosomal RNA", at positions 1 to 642 of the family's 2925-position model. RNAcentral also lists the same sequence under 2 other names. The record is from RNAcentral. Lineage: Bacteria; Pseudomonadati; Pseudomonadota; Gammaproteobacteria; Enterobacterales; Enterobacteriaceae.
GGUUAAGCGACUAAGCGUACACGGUGGAUGCCCUGGCAGUCAGAGGCGAUGAAGGACGUGCUAAUCUGCGAUAAGCGCCGGUAAGGUGAUAUGAACCGUUAUAACCGGCGAUUUCCGAAUGGGGAAACCCAGUGUGACUCGUCACACUAUCAUUAACUGAAUCCAUAGGUUAAUGAGGCGAACCGGGGGAACUGAAACAUCUAAGUACCCCGAGGAAAAGAAAUCAACCGAGAUUCCCCCAGUAGCGGCGAGCGAACGGGGAGGAGCCCAGAGCCUGAAUCAGCAUGUGUGUUAGUGGAAGCGUCUGGAAAGGCGCGCGAUACAGGGUGACAGCCCCGUACACAAAAGCGCAUGUGUUGUGAGCUCGAUGAGUAGGGCGGGACACGUGGUAUCCUGUCUGAAUAUGGGGGGACCAUCCUCCAAGGCUAAAUACUCCUGACUGACCGAUAGUGAACCAGUACCGUGAGGGAAAGGCGAAAAGAACCCCGGCGAGGGGAGUGAAAAAGAACCUGAAACCGUGUACGUACAAGCAGUGGGAGCCCCACCACUAAGCCAGUGGUGAACUCCACAUACGCAUCCUUUGCUGAAGGUGCGGUUAACGGAGCGCAAGCGACGUUCAACCUCAAAAGAAGCAGAGGGGGCUUAGUGGUGGGGUGACUGCGUACCUUUUGUAUAAUGGGUCAGCGACUUAUAUUCUGUAGCA